AUGGCCACCCAACGAUCUACCGCGAUCUCGUCCUCACAGUUAGAAAUCAAAUCCCCCAAACAGAUUCGAAGCAGGCAGACAACAGGCACUCUCUCCGGUUUCGGCGCCUCAAAUCGGCCACUCUCUCCGUUUACAUUUCCAUUUGCAUUUACAGACAACAGGCAGAUCCAAGCGCGAACCCCGGGUGGGUAUGGGGGAGGGGGGAGGAGGUGGGGUUUGUACCUUGCGACCGGGAGAGAUCUCCGCCGAUCUGAGCAGCGCCCACCGCAGCGCCAUCUCCGCCUCCGCUUGGCCUCGAGUCCGUCGGAUUUGGGGAAAAACCGGGGAGAGGCUAGUGUGGUGUGGGGAGGAGAAACGGGGCGAGCUCCAGGCCAGGUGCAGGAGGGGAACCAGCGCUCUUCGAGGCCGCGGCUGUGUGUGUGUGUGUGUGUGUGUGUGGAGUAUAGCUGGCCAAAUGGGCCAGCGGCCUGA
Molecule: ribosomal RNA, 471 nt
Filed under: Triticum aestivum (bread wheat)
Lineage: Eukaryota; Viridiplantae; Streptophyta; Magnoliopsida; Poales; Poaceae
Description: partial small subunit ribosomal RNA
Source: RNAcentral